Long non-coding RNA from Mus musculus (house mouse), 847 nucleotides. RefSeq annotates it as predicted gene 16163. The record is from RefSeq and is marked validated. Lineage: Eukaryota; Metazoa; Chordata; Mammalia; Rodentia; Muridae. The transcript is spliced from 2 exons.
AGAAGCAAUAUGCUGGUGCCAGGGACAGCCCAGGCAGCCCUGCACAGCCACCUCUCCCCUGCCUUCUGCACAGGGCGCCUUUCAGGGACAAGAACGCAUGGAGGAGAGUAGGUGAGAAGGAGAGCAAAAGGUCGGCCAACAAGUGGGGGAGAAGGUCCCGGAGAGGGUAGCGCUUGCGGACAUGGCUCCAGGAGACCACGUGGGCCGUGGUCCCGCCGCCUCGGGAUGCGUUUCACUGUCUUUGGCCGCCUCCUCCCAGGAGCUACGCUCACCCAGGUCGUAGAGGGUCCGCAGAACGGCGUCCAGGAGUGCCUCCGAACCAGGAGGCUCAACGGAGUCCGAAUCGUGCUCCGCCGCCAUGGGAAUCAGCACGGAGACCCCCCCAGAUCCCGCCCAGUGCCCACCACUUCCGCUUCCGGCGCGGCUUCUGCGCGUGCGUCACGGUCCCUGCGCGGCCUCGGGCCUGGUUAAGAUGGCGGUGCCCGGGGUCCCGUGCAGUGGCCGUACGGAGUGCCACUGUCCUGGGCAGACGGGAGCCGCCCCGUGCGAAAGAACCGCCCCCAGCGGCUGCACUACAGCCGUGUAGCAGACCAGCCCAGGCCCCGCCAGGGACGGCAGCCGCGCCAUGGACGUUCCUAGCUCCUCCAGCUCCCGAUUCUCGGUCGGCUCGGCCAGCCCUAGCAGUGUGCUCCUCUAUGCGGUAGGCGCCUGGGAGGACCAAGGCCCAGGGCAACGUCGCGGGAAGGACAGUCCCUCCCCGAUCCCUAUGUCCCCAGCCCACGACCCUUGCUUGUCUUAAAGAGCGGGUCCUAACCCAGUUGGGUACGUGGCUUGGUAUCCACGGCAA